UCCCCACUCUGCUAAGCUCACUUUCAGGUGACACACCUUUAGUGUCCAGAGAAGAGCCAUUUCUGUCCUAUGAUGAUCACAGAAGCCCCAGCUCAGACCUCAGCCCACUGACCAGUCUUGCCAUGUCAGCCUCUGUGUUCAUAGGCACCAUGUCCCCUCUCCUUUCACGUGGAGGCAAAAUGUUUGUGGCCUCCCCCUGGGAAGCCUUCCAUCACACUGUUAGCUGCAGAUUACUCUGACUUGCACUUUUCGCCAGCUCUUGGCCCUCCUACAGCAUAUGUCACCUCUCGCCCAGCAUCCCAGUGGUUUAGGUGUGCUUGUGUGGGGGACUUCCUCUGAGCUCUGCAGGAAGGAAGGCCCCUCUUUCUCCUUUUCCCUUCAGUGGUUUCUCUCCUACCUCCUCCUCCACCAGGGAGGCCCUGCCACUCAGAGAGGGAUCAGCAGGGGAUCCCCAGCUUGCCUCUGUCCACCUGGAUCAGGUGAGAGAGGAGAAACCCUUUAGUCUCCACUUUGUCAGAUCCAGUUUUGGCAACAAUAGAGAUGAUACUUUUAGCCCUGGGUCAGUUUCUCAAUUGGUUGAAACCUCUGAUCAGAGGAGGGUGAUUGCCACUCAGACCUUAUUUGGGUUGAAAGUCCCUUGAGAGCAGAAACUGUUCCUACUUUUAGUAAAUUUUAAAAAACUACGUAAUUCUUAAUACAUAUGAAAGACAAAUGUAGUAUAUCUGUAAGUUAUAAAGCACAAUAAUGAACACUGGAACUAAGAACUAAGCCAUGGAGAGGGAGAGAUAAAUUAGGAGUUUGGGGUUAGCAAAUACAAACUACUGUAUAUAAAGGAGAUAAACAACGAAGUCUUACUGUAUAGCACAGGGAACUAUAUUCAAUAUCUUGUAGGAAACUAUAAUAGAAAAUAAUUUUUUUCAAAAAGAACUAAUCCAGUUUGUCUUCCUCCAUCUAUCCUCCUGCCUUCUCACAAAAGAUAACCACUAGCCUGCAUUUUGAGCCUGAUAUUGCCCCUCUAUUUCUUGUUUUCAGUUUUAACAAAUAUAUAUACAUUUCUGAGCUAUAUAUACUUGAAUUGUGCUGGGGCUUGGGGGUGGGAUUCUAUAUAAAUAAUGUCAAACAGAAUUUAAUCUUUAGUGAUUAUGAGAUUUACUGUUUAAACCUGGAUGUGCACCUACCCUGCAACUCAGCAAUUCCAUCCCUAGGUAUAAACCCCAGUGCUGUGGUCCUCAAACUUUUUGCUUUCAGAACUCUUUUAUCCUCUUAAAAAUUAUUGGCGAUCCUAUACCAAAGAGCUUUUGUUUAUAUCGGUUACAUCUAUUGAUAUUCACUAUAAUAGAAAUUAAAACUGGGAAGUUCCCAUUGUGGCUCAAUGGUAACAAGCCCCACUAUUAUCCAUGAGGAUGCUGGUUCAAUCCCUGACCCUGCUCAGUGGGUUAAGGAUUCGGCCUUGCUGUGAGCUGUGGUGUAGGUCACAGAUGUGACUUGGAUCCCGAGUUGCUGUGACUGUGGCGUAGGUCCGAAGCUGUAGGUCCGAUUUGACUGCUAGCCUGGGAACUUCCUGAUGCCAUGGGUGCAGCCCUUAUAAAAAGAAAGAAAGAAAUUAAUUCUGAAGCCUUUAAAAUUUAUUAACUAAUUUUAAAAUAAACUCAUUACAUGUUAACGUAACAUAUUUUAUGUUAACAUAAUAUAUACUUUCAAAUGUAGGGCGAUGAGUGGCAUUGUUUACAUUUCACAAGUCUCUUUAUCAUCUCGCUUUCAUAGACAACAGCCUCAUACAGCUCUAUAAUUGGAAAUGGUAGGAGGAUUUUAAUAGCCUUUUCUGAUAAUUAUGUGUAUAUCAUGUAGCCUCUAGAAAACUCCUCUGCACAGGCCUGACAAAAUGAGAGUGAAAAUUGCUCUGGAAAGUAGUUUUGACCUCAUGCACCCCCUAAAAGGGUUUCAGGGAUCCCUGUGGCUCCUUGGAUCACACUUUAAGAACUUUUGCCUUAGUGAAACUAGCAUGUGCACACCAGGAGGGAUGUGCCAGGUUGUUCAUUGCAGCGUUGCUUGUAAUAGAAAAAGUUGGAAACCACCCAAACAUCGUGAGUGGACAAGAGAAUAAGUGAAUUAUGGUUCAGUCACACAAUGAUGUGUUUAACAGCAGUGAAAAUAAAGCCUCUUUUCCUCAUCUUUGUACAUGGGAAGUCUGUGUAUUAACAGAGUCCUUGCAUUUUGACAGAGUAGCUCAUCUGAUUGGCAGAGACUAGAAUGUUAAGUGAGGCCCUGCACAAAAUAGAUGUGUAAGAGAUGGGCAAACAGUGCACAUACCCAAAGAUGGAAUAAAGAGGCAAAGCCAGUCACCUACCCUCUGGUCAUGACCUUUGUCAUGUUAAAUUCUCAGCCCGAAGCCUUUUAUUUUCUGAAACACUUGACUUCAUCCUAUGAUUAAAAGCUAACUUCCUGUUUUCAAAUGAUAUGUAUGUCAUGGCAAAGUAGUUUGCAAACAGUGAGCCUUAAUGAACAUGAGCUCCUCAAGAAUUCAGCAAAUUUAUAAAAGCCAUUCUUCCCUUUGGAAGUUGGAGUGCACAGGGCUGGUACAAGGACAUUUGUACCUUAAACUGAGCCUUCUUGCUGGAAUAAGAAUGUUUCAAAGCGGCAUCUUCCUACACAUCUGAUCUCCAGUUAAAAGGGAAAAAGGAACAAUUGAGAGCUUUGUAGAGGCCCAACCGGCCACUGAAAUGAUCCUCAUCAGCACAAAAUCCUAAAGGUUGUAAGGACUCAGGAUUCCUAUGAAUGGAAUUGUUUCCCAAACAGCUCUGCACUCCUCCACCACCAUUCCAUCCCCCCAACACACACACACACACACACACACACACACGCACACAUACUGUACUAGUACUCUUUCAGAUGAGAGGGGCAACGGUGGCAUUCAGUGGCCAGAGAAGACCAAACUGAGGAAUGGGGGGUUGUAAAGGAUACAUGUUGUACCCAUACUUCAAACACGCAUUUAUAUUAGCAGUUAUUAAUACAGUGACACCUCAUAUAUCCAGAGGUUCUUAUGCAGCCAAAUUACUAGUAUUGAACACAGAUUUUCCACAUGGUACUACUUUGAUUUUUUUGAGCUAUCAAAUAUAAAAUUUUCCUCAACAGUCUUUUCCAUUUUAUAAUGUUCCUGUGUUGCCCACCAGUUUUUUCCCUGGCUUAACUCCCAAGGAGCAGGCAGCCAGAUAUGGGCCCACCAGGCAGGAGACUGGAGGUUUCUCCUCAGGUAAAAUUUGCCCAAGGGAAAUGGCUUGCAAGUCACCUAAAUAAACAGUGAGAGCCACCUAAGUAAACAGUGGGAUCUCUGCCUAGUUAUCCUGCCUGAAGCUUUUUAAUCAAUAACGCUUUCUCUCCCUCUCCCUCCUUUCCCUCUCUUUCCCUCCCUUCCUCCUUCUCCCUCUCCCUUUAAGUCUCUCUCUCUCUCUCCCUCUCACAUACACGCAAACAGACACACACAGAUUUUUUUAAUCAGCUUUUUCAUGCUUCAUUCUUAAAUAAGGCUAAAUAACCAAAAAUCAUAUAAUCGAGGAAAAGUCUCUAAUUUAAAAAAUAGCAGCUAAAACAAAUAAAACACUGAACUCAGAGAAAAAUAGAGACAUUCAGAAAAAAAGGAGAAAAGAAAGAUACAUUCUGUGGUUAAUCCUCAGGAAGAGAAAAUAAUGUACCCAUGAAAAAUAGAACAGGAUACUUUUUUUUUUUUUUUAAGAAGCAUCUGGAAAACAAACAACUCUUGGAAUUAAAAAGAUGAUAGCAGAGUUUACAACUCAAUUAAAGAGAUGGGAAAUAAAAUUUAGGAAAUCUCUCAAAACAAAUCCAUAACUUUGUUGAAAUCUGGCAUUUAAGAUGCACUUGCUUUAUCAAUCAAAAAUUAUUCAGGGGGGUUCCUGUCGUGGCUCAGUGGUUAGCGAAGUGAAUCCAACUAGGAACCAUGAGGUUGUGGGUUCAAUCCCUGGCCUUGCUCAGUGGAUUAGGGAUCCAGCGUUGCCAUGAGCUCUGGUGUAGGUCGAAGACAUGGCUCGGAUCCCACGUUGCUGUGGCUCUGGUGUAGGCUGGUGGCUAUAGCUCCGAUUGGACCCCUAGUCUGGGAAUCUCCAUAUGCCACAGAAGUGGCCCAAGAAAUG
RNAcentral lists this long non-coding RNA (4145 nucleotides) under Sus scrofa (pig). RNAcentral's name for it is "lncRNA (ENSSSCG00000051882.1, ENSSSCG00130031866.1, ENSSSCG00160006577.1, ENSSSCG00180011708.1)". The record is from RNAcentral. Lineage: Eukaryota; Metazoa; Chordata; Mammalia; Artiodactyla; Suidae.